AGUGGCGGACUGGUGAGUAACGCGUGAGGAACCUGCCUUUCAGAGGGGGACAACAGUUGGAAACGACUGCUAAUACCGCAUGACGCAUUCGGAUGGCAUCAUCUGUAUGCCAAAGAUUUAUCGCUGAAAGAUGGCCUCGCGUCUGAUUAGCUAGUUGGCGGGGUAACGGCCCACCAAGGCGACGAUCAGUAGCCGGACUGAGAGGUUGACCGGCCACAUUGGGACUGAGAUACGGCCCAGACUCCUACGGGAGGCAGCAGUGGGGAAUAUUGGGCAAUGGGCGCAAGCCUGACCCAGCACGCCGCGUGAAGGAAGAAGGCUUUCGGGUUGUAAACUUCUUUUAAGUGGGAAGAGCAGAAGACGGUACCACUUGAAUAAGCCACGGCUAACUACGUGCCAGCAGCCGCGGUAAUACGUAGGUGGCAAGCGUUGUCCGGAUUUACUGGGUGUAAAGGGCGUGCAGCCGGGCAUGCAAGUCAGAUGUGAAAUCUCAGGGCUUAACCCUGAAACUGCAUUUGAAACUGUAUGUCUUGAGUGCCGGAGAGGUAAUCGGAAUUCCUUGUGUAGCGGUGAAAUGCGUAGAUAUAAGGAAGAACACCAGUGGCGAAGGCGGAUUACUGGACGGUAACUGACGGUGAGGCGCGAAAGUGUGGGGAGCAAACAGGAUUAGAUACCCUGGUAGUCCACGCUGUAAACGAUGGAUACUAGGUGUGGGGGGAUGACCCCUUCCGUGCCGCAGUUAACACAAUAAGUAAUCCACCUGGGGAGUA
This 770-nucleotide ribosomal RNA is filed under the name uncultured bacterium. RNAcentral's name for it is "bacterial SSU rRNA". It matches the Rfam family "Bacterial small subunit ribosomal RNA", at positions 94 to 882 of the family's 1533-position model. The record is from RNAcentral.